This 76-nucleotide transfer RNA is filed under the name Enterovibrio nigricans. Its description in RNAcentral is "tRNA-Val". It matches the Rfam family "tRNA". From Rfam's summary of the family: Transfer RNA (tRNA) molecules are approximately 80 nucleotides in length. Lineage: Bacteria; Pseudomonadati; Pseudomonadota; Gammaproteobacteria; Vibrionales; Vibrionaceae. The record is from RNAcentral.
GGGUCUAUUGCUCAGUUGGUUAGAGUACUGCCUUGACAUGGCAGGGGUCGCAGUUCGAGUCUGCCUAGACCCACCA